GACGAACGCUGGCGGCGUGCUUAACACAUGCAAGUCGAACGGAAAGGCCCUGCUUUUGUGGGGUGCUCGAGUGGCGAACGGGUGAGUAACACGUGAGUAACCUGCCCUUGACUUUGGGAUAACUUCAGGAAACUGGGGCUAAUACCGGAUAGGAGCUCCUGCUGCAUGGUUGGGGUUGGAAAGUUUCGGCGGUUGGGGAUGGACUCGCGGCUUAUCAGCUUGUUGGUGGGGUAGUGGCUUACCAAGGCUUUGACGGGUAGCCGGCCUGAGAGGGUGACCGGCCACAUUGGGACUGAGAUACGGCCCAGACUCCUACGGGAGGCAGCAGUGGGGAAUAUUGCACAAUGGGCGGAAGCCAGAUGCAGCCACGCCGCGUGCGGGAUGACGGCCUUCGGGUUGUAAACCGCUUUCGCCUGUGACGAAGCGUGAGUGACGGUAAUGGGUAAAGAAGCACCGGCUAACUACGUG
Molecule: ribosomal RNA, 468 nt
Filed under: uncultured bacterium
Lineage: Bacteria
Description: partial 16S ribosomal RNA
Rfam family: Bacterial small subunit ribosomal RNA
Source: RNAcentral